GAUGAACGCUGGCGGCGUGCCUAAUACAUGCAAGUCGAGCGAACGGACGAGAAGCUUGCUGCUCUGAUGUUAGCGGCGGACGGGUGAGUAACACGUGGAAAACCUACCUAUAAGACUGGGAUAACCUCGGGAAACCGGAGCUUAUACCGGAGAAUAUCUUGAACCGCAUGGUUCAAAAGUGAAAGACGGUGGUGCUGUCACUUAUAGAUGCAUCCGGGCUGGAUUAGCUAGUUGGUACGUUAACGGGUUACGAAGGCUACGAGGCGUAGCCGAGCUGAGAGGGUGAUCGGCGACACGGGAGCUGAGACACGGUCCAGACUCCUGAGGGAGGCAGCAGUAGGGAAUCUGCCGCAAUGGGCGAGAGCCUGACGGAGCGGCGCCGCGUGAGUGAUGAAGGUCUUCGGAUCGUAAAACUCUGUUAUUAGGGGAGAACAUAUGUGUAAGUAACUGUGCACAUCUUGACGGUACCUAAUCAGAAAGCCACGGCUAACUACGUG
This 497-nucleotide ribosomal RNA is filed under the name uncultured bacterium. RNAcentral describes it as "partial 16S ribosomal RNA". It matches the Rfam family "Bacterial small subunit ribosomal RNA", at positions 28 to 507 of the family's 1533-position model. The record is from RNAcentral.